UCAGAAUUGGUGUCACAACUCCUC
This 24-nucleotide non-coding RNA is filed under the name Arabidopsis thaliana (thale cress). Lineage: Eukaryota; Viridiplantae; Streptophyta; Magnoliopsida; Brassicales; Brassicaceae. The record is from RNAcentral.